Molecule: long non-coding RNA, 2389 nt
Filed under: Canis lupus familiaris (dog)
Lineage: Eukaryota; Metazoa; Chordata; Mammalia; Carnivora; Canidae
Description: lncRNA (ENSCAFG00000058997.1)
Source: RNAcentral
UGAGAAUGAACUCCCGAGUACACUGCUUGCAGCCCGUGACUGGAAUGUUAAUUUCGUCCUGCGUCCCCGGCUGGCUCCCUUCAACGGUACUGGGCUCUCGCAUUUCUGACAUUUUUCGUUUUGUAAAAAUGAAUACCUGCCUUAGAAAGCCUGAUGAACGCAGAGAUACUUUACAUGCAAACACACACACACACACACACACACACACACACACACACACACACAAAUGCUGUUCCCAUUUCCCCCUGUCUUUCAUCUGACAAAGCGGGUAGUGACUGCGAGCUCAGAAUUGGCUGGCGGAGGUGUCUGCUGGUGUGUGGGCUCCAUUUCUGGGGCUUUAUCAAGCCCUGUCUCCGAUUUUCCCAUUUCAGACAAUCUUCCUUUGAAGACGUGGAUGACAUAGUAAAACCGAUUGCACUUGAGAGCCGAUUCCAUGACUAUUUUGCUGCAACAGCGCGAAUGUCAUCACACUUUCUUAUGCAAAGAUUGUGUCCAGAUCCAUGAAAUCAGCCAUGGCUUUGUUCAAAAUAUAGUAUCAGGAAUGCAUAUGUUGAGGAGCAAGAAUUCUCUGUCCCCUUUCAAGUCCUGGGGGGACUACGAAUCAAAUUGACAAGAGACAGGUAAAUGGGAGAAAAUCAAAUUUAAUUUUGUAUGUAGAAGGAAUCCACACAGAUAGAGACAUUCCUAGGGUAGGAAUUCAGGCAAAAUUAAGGAUGCAUGUCAUCCUGAAAUAAGGAGAAGGAAGUAAAGAUCUGGGACUUCUACAGGAAAGGAAUGCAGUUCACAGGAAGAUGAAAAAGAGCAAAUGUUUGGUAAUCAAGUGUUUGCUGGGCCCUCAGAAACAAUGGGACCUAAAAGACUUUUGAUCAAACAGGUCUUGCUGGCUUCUUACCUGUCUACCCACCUAGUACAUAGUAUAGUGUGGUUCUCUGGUGCUAGCUCCCUGCCUGGAGCAGGUCCUUUAUCUAAAGUCUUUUAGGCAGUACCGAGGGAGGUAAAGAUCUUUUCCUGAAUCUGCCGGGUUUUGAUUGCUUUUUCACUUAAAAUCAUCUCCAUGCCGAAGUGGCUGGUCUUGGGGUGGCCUGCCCUUCGCCCCAACACAGACACAGGAGCUCAAACUAAAAACAUUAAAGCCAGUGCCAUCAUGAGUCAAAGCAUUCAUAUGAGCAGUUACCUGAAAUUAAAUAGAAAAAUCUUGCUAAGACCUGACCUCUCUGGCUCCUCUUUCAUCAACGGCACCAUCUGACCUCUGGUUCUUUUCUUCUUCUCCUGCCUAGGAGUCACCAGUCAGAGCAGCAAGUUUGGGAUGAUCAGACAAGGGAGUGCACUUAGAGAGCAAGGUGAAGAAGGUGACUUGGACAGAGAACGGGGACCUCUAACCUCGUUACAUUUUACUAAUCUACUACCUCAGACCAAAUUCUGCUUCAGAUUCUUUAACUGAAACUCCCAAACACCUGUUUUCCUUUUACUGUAAAUUCCUCACAAAUUUAUUAUCUUUUUGUCUAAAAUGUAUAAAAACUGCCUGCCUUGCCCAUUUCUUUGGGUCUUAAUUUCAUUACUGGGCCUCCAUGUGCACAUAGUAAAACUUUGGAGAGUAAAACUCCUGUCAAUCUGUCUUAGAAAUUUCUCUCUCACAGUUUGAAGGCUGGCAGUCCAUGAUCAAUGUGUUGGCAGAUUCAAUGUCUGGUGAGAUCCCCCUUCCUGUUUCAUAGACAGUAGUCUCUCUGCUCUAACCUCACAUGGUGGCAGGGGCAAAGGAGCUCGCUAAUCCUAUUCAGGAGGGCUCCCCUCUUAUGACCUAAUCACAUCCAAAGGCCUGAGCUCCAAGCAUCACUUUGGGGAUUAGGUUUCAACAUAUGCAUUUUGGCAGGACACAGAUAUUCAGUCCAAGACACUAUUUAUCAACUGUCCAUCUGAUAUAUUGCCUUCUUGUCCUACCUUUUACAGGACAGUGAUAUAAAAGAUUUGUUGUAGGAGUUUCUCUCAACUGGAAUUUCUUCAUGGAGCUAGAAGCUACCACUCAUGUAGUGGCUACAACAUGGCUACAACAUGUGGCAACUCAUCGGUUCUUUGAGACUCUUUAAGCAGGUUCAUUGGAAAUAUAAAAGAACCCAUGUAGCUAAUUCACGUACCAAGAAAAAAAAAGACCUACAUACACAAGAUAAAACUAUGUUAGUAAUUGUAGAAAUGCAAUUUUUCAUUUUUUUAUCAAGUUGACAGAUGUUUUUUCAGUGAUAAUUUGGAAUCUUGAUGAACAUGCAAUAAAAUAGAUCCUCCCAGUGACUGCUGGAGGGAGAAAAGAACUAACUUUAAUAUCCAUUGAUAUUAAAUUGUUAUAAGGAAAUAAUCAUAGAUGUAAACUAUAAUUUAUAUAUAGUAAUAUACACUA